RNAcentral lists this ribosomal RNA (253 nucleotides) under uncultured bacterium. RNAcentral describes it as "partial 16S ribosomal RNA". It matches the Rfam family "Bacterial small subunit ribosomal RNA", at positions 524 to 776 of the family's 1533-position model. The record is from RNAcentral.
UACGUAGGGGGCAAGCGUUGUCCGGAUUUAUUGGGCGUAAAGCGCGUGUAGGCGGCUUGGUAGGUCAGCUGUGAAAACUCGAGGCUCAACCUCGAGCUGUCGGUUGAAACCACCUUGCUAGAGUCCGGAAGAGGAGAGUGGAAUUCCUGGUGUAGCGGUGAAAUGCGCAGAUAUCAGGAAGAACACCAAUGGCGAAGGCAGCUCUCUGGGACGGUACUGACGCUGAGGCGCGAAAGCGUGGGGAUCAAACCGG